This 2405-nucleotide long non-coding RNA is filed under the name Homo sapiens (human). Its description in RNAcentral is "HSALNT0271741". The record is from RNAcentral. Lineage: Eukaryota; Metazoa; Chordata; Mammalia; Primates; Hominidae.
GCGCGCCCCAUUGCUCCAUCUGUGAGGGCUCACCCUUCCAUAGAAGUACCUUGCCUUGCUGAAAAUCAAAAAGAACAUUUUAUAUUAGGAGGAUAUCUCUUUUGCAGCACCGAAACUUUAUAUAUAACAGCAGUGAGCCGAGAUUGCGCCACUGCACUCCAGCCUGGCACAGAGAGAGACCCCAUCUCAAAAAAAAAAAAAAAAAAAAAAAGACAGGGGUGGACAGAGGCCAGCCUUCUCAGCGCCGAUUUCCUCAUGUAAUACUUUCUCUUGUAUCCUCAGUUCUGUAUUUUUCCAGGACAGAAUACCAUGUUCCAGAUAGGGGCGGCUUCAUUCAUUCCAAGAAUGGGAAGACACGGGGAACAGAGCUGAGCGGCACAGCUGCCAACUUGUCAUCCUUAUUGUACCAUGAGUGAGACAUAAGUGUUGUUGUAAAAUGCUGAUAUUUUCAGACUGUUGUAAUCGCAGGACUCAUACAGAAGUUAAUACAACAGUAAGAGUGCUACCAUAGCACAUAUAAAAUCAAUAGGUGUGACUGCCUUUGGGCUGACUGACAGGCUGUGUGAAAACCCUGAACGAAGUUUAGACAAAUGACAAUCCAGGUAUUCAAGCCAAAAUAUUUGAUAAGACUGUUGCCUAUCAUAAAAAUACGUAAUGGAUGUCAUGAAUUUGUGUUCCUAGAUUUGUUACUGGCUGUGUUUGCUAUGAUACCACAGGAAGGAGACAGGUUUGUAAAAAAGUUAAGCUGUGGGCAGUCAGAGAUGAAAGAGACAGGAAGACAAUCCACACAAUUCAGGACUUGUACAUUUGAAAGAUGCACUCAACUCCAAUCAGUAAGAAGUAAACUUGAGAAAAGACAUGAGCCACAAAAGCCAAUGAAGACAAACUCUGGGACAAACAUCAGAUCAAGGCAGCAGUGGUGAGAGGUCAUCAAGCUCCUUGCUAAGAUUUCCCAUUUACUUAUGAUCAAGGGAAAGAGACCAGAUAUGUGGUCCCAAAGAAGCCUGUUAAGAUCACCAUACCUAUCACAAAGUUUAGACAAGAGAUGUCAUAUGUCUCAAAAAGAACUGUGGGUGUCACUAUUGGCAUAAGGAGCUGACUAAAAUCAAAUAGCUAAAAGCCAACAAGGUUUUGCAAGGUAUAUAUUUUCAAAAAUGCUAUAAGCCUAGUUUAAAAGGGACUAUAAUUAGAAGGCAAAACAAUCCUUAGGCCCUCAAUUUCCUAAUGGCAGAAAACAGGCAAAGUUGCUCACCUACCAUGAUUGACAUAUGCUCCAUAUGCCUUUCUGAUAUGGCCAAGGAAGGUGAGGAAAAAAGAAGACCUCUCAGAGAGAAGAAAUAAAGUUUUGAGAAACAAGGAUGGGUAAUCAACAGGCAGGGACUGGGACUGGAGUCCAAUCAGGAAACAUUUCCUACAUUCAGAGAUGGCAGACUUUUAAUUGUCACAGGGGGAUUAAUUGCAAAGAAGCAGUGACUUUGAGUAUCACUUCUUCUUCCUCUAUUUGACUGGGAAUGUUUAUUUUAGUAUCCCUGUUUCACAAUCAAAUAUUGGGAAUAGAUAGAGAAUACACUUAUAUUAUUAUUUCAUGUUUCCAGAUCAAAAAGAGCUGCAUCUGCGCCCGAUUGAGAUAAUGAACUACAGGACCUCACAUAUAAUGUCUUGAUUGAAAGAGCCAUUUGCUUUAUUCCUAGGGAAGUACUGAGUGUAUUUUUCAUGCAGGGAGAAAUCAAUUAUGUGCCAUCAAGAGCACAGAUAGGGGUAAUUGGCAUUAUUAUUUGAAUAUUGAUUCUCUCUUCUUUAAGAGUAUUACAUAAUAGUAUCUCCCAGAAAGUGAAGUAUACUUUACUACUGCAAUUUGAUUAAAUUACUCGUUUGGGAGUGAAAUAAGAGUAGACCUGACAUUUAACAGGACAGUUCAGCAGGAUCUUUGGGUGCAACUAUGUAAUAUAUUUCAAGCAUUUGCCUUAAGAGCAAUAGGUCCCAGAUAGUAGUCAGUCCUAGAUUGUGUUCUGGAACUAGAAGAUAUAUGGAGACAAUCAGUCCAGUGAAAUCCAGCCUAAUCCAGUAGACCGCAGUUAACCCAGAGUUAACCUCUAACUUACCUUCAGUCAAUACAUAUAUAAACACAUAGAGUUUUUUUACUAUAACAAAAAUGAAUGCUUCCUUUUACAGUAAAGAAAAAAAUAAUCAGGAACAAUUUGGUAGAACAGGUGAAACCUAAGCCAUAUUGUGAAGAAUCGUCAUCUAAAUAAGAAGGAAAUGAAGCAAAAUAUAUUUGAAGCAAAAAUAAGAGCAAUUGCAAAGGCAAGGGACUAGGUAUAAAGUUGGCCUGUUAGAGACAAAAUACAGAAAUAAUUCUGAUUAGAGAGCCAACCGCAUAAGGGAGAACAAAAAGAAAUAGAUUA